This 1133-nucleotide ribosomal RNA is filed under the name Bacillus sp. MT7. RNAcentral describes it as "bacterial SSU rRNA". It matches the Rfam family "Bacterial small subunit ribosomal RNA", at positions 53 to 1170 of the family's 1533-position model. Lineage: Bacteria; Bacillati; Bacillota; Bacilli; Caryophanales; Bacillaceae. The record is from RNAcentral.
ACUGCAGUCGAGCGGACCGACGGGAGCUUGCUCCCUUAGGUCAGCGGCGGACGGGUGAGUAACACGUGGGUAACCUGCCUGUAAGACUGGGAUAACUCCGGGAAACCGGGGCUAAUACCGGAUGCUUGAUUGAACCGCAUGGUUCAAUCAUAAAAGGUGGCUUUUAGCUACCACUUACAGAUGGACCCGCGGCGCAUUAGCUAGUUGGUGAGGUAACGGCUCACCAAGGCGACGAUGCGUAGCCGACCUGAGAGGGUGAUCGGCCACACUGGGACUGAGACACGGCCCAGACUCCUACGGGAGGCAGCAGUAGGGAAUCUUCCGCAAUGGACGAAAGUCUGACGGAGCAACGCCGCGUGAGUGAUGAAGGUUUUCGGAUCGUAAAACUCUGUUGUUAGGGAAGAACAAGUACCGUUCGAAUAGGGCGGCACCUUGACGGUACCUAACCAGAAAGCCACGGCUAACUACGUGCCAGCAGCCGCGGUAAUACGUAGGUGGCAAGCGUUGUCCGGAAUUAUUGGGCGUAAAGCGCGCGCAGGCGGUUUCUUAAGUCUGAUGUGAAAGCCCCCGGCUCAACCGGGGAGGGUCAUUGGAAACUGGGGAACUUGAGUGCAGAAGAGGAGAGUGGAAUUCCACGUGUAGCGGUGAAAUGCGUAGAGAUGUGGAGGAACACCAGUGGCGAAGGCGACUCUCUGGUCUGUAACUGACGCUGAGGCGCGAAAGCGUGGGGAGCGAACAGGAUUAGAUACCCUGGUAGUCCACGCCGUAAACGAUGAGUGCUAAGUGUUAGAGGGUUUCCGCCCUUUAGUGCUGCAGCAAACGCAUUAAGCACUCCGCCUGGGGAGUACGGUCGCAAGACUGAAACUCAAAGGAAUUGACGGGGGCCCGCACAAGCGGUGGAGCAUGUGGUUUAAUUCGAAGCAACGCGAAGAACCUUACCAGGUCUUGACAUCCUCUGACAACCCUAGAGAUAGGGCUUCCCCUUCGGGGGCAGAGUGACAGGUGGUGCAUGGUUGUCGUCAGCUCGUGUCCUGAAAUGUUGGGUUAAGUCCCGCAACGAACGCAACCCUUGAUCUUAGUUGCCAGCAUUCAGUUGGGCACUCUAAGGGGACUGCCGGUGACAAACCGGAGGA